CCUACGGGAGGCAGCAGUGGGGAAUAUUGCGCAAUGGGCGAAAGCCUGACGCAGCGACGCCGCGUGAGGGAUGAAGGUCUUCGGAUCGUAAACCUCUGUCAGCAGGGAAGAACGGUCACUGUGCUAAUCAGCAGUGAAUUGACGGUACCUGCAAAGGAAGCACCGGCUAACUCCGUGCCAGCAGCCGCGGUAAUAAGGAGGGUGCGAGCGUUAAUCGGGAUUACUGGGCGUAAAGCGCUCGUAGGCGGUAUGUCAAGUCAAGGGGGAAAUCCCCGCGCUCAACGUGGGAACUGCCUUUGAAACUGGCAAACUGGAGUGUGUGAGAGGAUAGUGGAAUUACAGGUGUAGGAGUGAAAUCCGUAGAUAUCUGGAGGAACAUCAGUGGCGAAGGCGACUAUCUGGCACAUAACUGACGCUGAGGAGCGAAAGCGUGGGUAGCAAACAGGAUUAGAUACCCUUGUAGUC
RNAcentral lists this ribosomal RNA (465 nucleotides) under uncultured bacterium. RNAcentral describes it as "partial 16S ribosomal RNA". It matches the Rfam family "Bacterial small subunit ribosomal RNA", at positions 338 to 795 of the family's 1533-position model. The record is from RNAcentral.